GACGAACGCUGGCGGCGUGCUUAACACAUGCAAGUCGAACGGAAAGGCCCUGCUUUUGUGGGGUGCUCGAGUGGCGAACGGGUGAGUAACACGUGAGUAACCUGCCCUUGACUUUGGGAUAACUUCAGGAAACUGGGGCUAAUACCGGAUAGGAGCUCCUGCUGCAUGGUGGGGGUUGGAAAGUUUCGGCGGUUGGGGAUGGACUCGCGGCUUAUCAGCUUGUUGGUGAGGUAGUGGCUUACCAAGGCUUUGACGGGUAGCCGGCCUGAGAGGGUGACCGGCCACAUUGGGACUGAGAUACGGACCAGACUCCUACGGGAGGCAGCAGUGGGGAAUAUUGCACAAUGGGCGGAAGCCUGAUGCAGCAACGCCGCGUGCGGGAUGACGGCCUUCGGGUUGUAAACCGCUUUCGCCUGUGACGAAGCGUGAGUGACGGUAAUGGGUAAAGAAGCACCGGCUAACUACGUG
This 468-nucleotide ribosomal RNA is filed under the name uncultured bacterium. RNAcentral describes it as "partial 16S ribosomal RNA". It matches the Rfam family "Bacterial small subunit ribosomal RNA", at positions 28 to 507 of the family's 1533-position model. The record is from RNAcentral.